This 253-nucleotide ribosomal RNA is filed under the name uncultured bacterium. Its description in RNAcentral is "partial 16S ribosomal RNA". It matches the Rfam family "Bacterial small subunit ribosomal RNA", at positions 524 to 776 of the family's 1533-position model. The record is from RNAcentral.
UACAGGGGGUGCAAACGUUGCUCGGAAUUAUUGGGCGUAAAGCGCGCGUAGGCGGCUACCUAAGUCGGAUGUGAAAGCCCCUGGCUUAACUGGGGAAGUGCACCCGAAACUGAGUAGCUAGAGUGCGAAAGAGGGUCGCGGAAUUCCCGGUGUAGAGGUGAAAUUCGUAGAUAUCAGGAGGAACACCUAUUGCGAAGGCAGCUCGCUGGGACGUAACUGACGCUGAGACGCGAAAGCGUGGGGAGCAAACAGG